This 498-nucleotide ribosomal RNA is filed under the name uncultured Glomeromycotina. RNAcentral describes it as "partial small subunit ribosomal RNA". It matches the Rfam family "Eukaryotic small subunit ribosomal RNA", at positions 591 to 1092 of the family's 1831-position model. Lineage: Eukaryota; Fungi; Glomeromycota. The record is from RNAcentral.
CCAAUAGCGUAUAUUAAAGUUGUUGCAGUUAAAAAGCUCGUAGUUGAAUUUUAGGCCUGGCCGGACGGUCCGUCUCUGGCGAGUACUGUUCUGUCGUCGGGUCUAUCCUUCUGGUGAGCCGGUAUGUUCUUAAUUGGGCGUGUCGGGGAACCAGGACCAUUACCUUGAAAAAAUUAGAGUGUUUAAAGCAGGCUUUUGCUUGAAUAGAUUAGCAUGGAAUAAUAGAAUAGGACGUUGUGGUUCUAUUUUGUUGGUUCUAGGACCACCGUAAUGAUUAAUAGGGAUAGUUGGGGGCAUUAGUAUUCAAUUGUCAGAGGUGAAAUUCUUGGAUUUAUUGAAGACUAACUACUGCGAAAGCAUUUGCCAAGGAUGUUUUCAUUAAUCAAGAACGAAAGUUAGGGGAUCGAAGACGAUCAGAUACCGUCGUAGUCUUAACCAUAAACUAUGCCGACUAGGAAUCGGGCGACGUUAUUUUCACGACUCGCUCGGCGCCUUAUG